UGCAAGUCGAGCGGAUGACGGGAGCUUGCUCCUUGAUUCAGCGGCGGACGGGUGAGUAAUGCCUAGGAAUCUGCCUGGUAGUGGGGGACAACGUUUCGAAAGGAACGCUAAUACCGCAUACGUCCUACGGGAGAAAGCAGGGGACCUUCGGGCCUUGCGCUAUCAGAUGAGCCUAGGUCGGAUUAGCUAGUUGGUGAGGUAAUGGCUCACCAAGGCGACGAUCCGUAACUGGUCUGAGAGGAUGAUCAGUCACACUGGAACUGAGACACGGUCCAGACUCCUACGGGAGGCAGCAGUGGGGAAUAUUGGACGAUGGGCGAAAGCCUGAUCCAGACAUGCCGCGUGUGUGAAGA
RNAcentral lists this ribosomal RNA (353 nucleotides) under Pseudomonas putida. RNAcentral's name for it is "bacterial SSU rRNA". It matches the Rfam family "Bacterial small subunit ribosomal RNA", at positions 56 to 411 of the family's 1533-position model. Lineage: Bacteria; Pseudomonadati; Pseudomonadota; Gammaproteobacteria; Pseudomonadales; Pseudomonadaceae. The record is from RNAcentral.